RNAcentral lists this ribosomal RNA (250 nucleotides) under uncultured bacterium. RNAcentral's name for it is "partial 16S ribosomal RNA". It matches the Rfam family "Bacterial small subunit ribosomal RNA", at positions 524 to 773 of the family's 1533-position model. The record is from RNAcentral.
AACGUAGGAGCCAAGCGUUAUCCGAAUUCACUGGGCGUAAAGCGCGUGCAGGCGGCCUGUUAAGUUGGAUGUGAAAUCUCCUGGCUCAACUGGGAGAGGACGUUCAAUACUGGCGGGCUAGAGGGCAAUAGAGGGAGGUGGAAUUCCGGGUGUAGUGGUGAAAUGCGUAGAUAUCCGGAGGAACACCAGUGGCGAAAGCGGCCUCCUGGAUUGCACCUGACGCUCAGACGCGAAAGCUAGGGGAGCGAAC